Molecule: long non-coding RNA, 1515 nt
Organism: Canis lupus familiaris (dog)
Lineage: Eukaryota; Metazoa; Chordata; Mammalia; Carnivora; Canidae
Exons: 5
Source: RefSeq, a predicted model, not a curated record
CCAACAGCCAGUUGCUGACAGCCAGGGGAAGAGCGAGCACCUGUGAAGGCAGGUGCCGGGCCCCCCCAUCUUACAGAUGUAAUCACUGCAGCUCAGGGAGGUUAAGUGACCUGUCCAGGGUCACGCAGCUUGUCUGCGGCAGACCUAGAUCACAAGCCCAGCAACUGAAACAAUGCUGGGCACGUAGUAGGUCCUGGUCACCCUUGUUGAAUUAACUGUCACCAUCACUGAACCGUCCAGCCUUGGCUAGUCUGGAGCUGUGAGGACAGCUCUGUGGGGUGACUGGCCUCCCGUGUCCACAGACAACACAGUCUCACCGUCACCUGAGCAUGCCCGGCCUUCAUUUUAAGCAUACACACAGGACACAGCAUGUGACCAGCAUCAGGCUCUGGGACCCAGCAGUUACGAGAAGCAGCAGGGAUGAGGCCCGGGCCCCAAAGGGAAGGAAAACUGCACUUUCCCAACCAAGUCCGGCUCUAAGACAACCCUCCCUGCAAAUUAGGUGCUAGCCUCUCCAUUUUCCAGAGGGGGAGAUGGAGGCUGAGAGAGGUUCAGUCACCCGCCAAGGUCACAGAGCUUUCCCACAGGCUCCAGGCCUCAAGCGCUCCCCUGCGGCACCUCCUUUCUCAGGAUCCUCCUUCUCCCAUGAGCCCGAUGCUCACUCAUGGGUGCCAGGUCCCGCUGCACAACCUUCCACAUUCCCAUAUUCUCCUCCAUCUGCCAUUCCCCUCCUACCCCUUCCCGCAGCAGGUCUUCCCUGAUUCACCCUCCCGGGCCUCAGACUCUUGCAGCCACGCGUGGGCUGUUCUUCCAGGGGCCUGACAGCCGAGCAGAGGACCUGCUUCUGUCCCCAGGCUGCCGAGGACAGUGUUCCCAGCCCUGCAGGGGCCUGUGCUGCCUGCCACACUCAUCCAGGGUCCAAGUCCUCACUUGUACCAUCAUGUCACCAGCUUCUGAACGUACCUUGGGUGCCCAGCCCUACACACAGAGUGCCAUGCGCACUGCCCCCCACACCCGUCUUUGGCCCUGGCACUUACCCCUGCACCUGGCAUUUAGAGCCUCACUCCAAGAAGGGAGUCCUGGAGCAGGUGAAGGCCUCAUGGAGCAGACCACCGCACUAUUUCCCACGGCGCCCACGCUGUGCUAACUCCUCCCACUAGCAGGAUCUGUGCAGUGAUGCAAAGUGCUGGGGGCUCCGAGUCAGAAACCUGGCCCACCACAAUCUGAUGUGGGCCAAGCUCUGGGCCUCAGUUUCCCCACCCGGGAAAGGGAAGCACUGGCCUAAAGUAGCCUGGAGCUUGAGAACCCUAACCGCUCCCUAAACAUCACCAUCGCACCUGCCCUCUCUGCUUUUCCUGAACACCUGGCACUCAGUGUGUGUUGGUUGAAUGAAUAAAUCCAUUUGUGGUACCCAGUAGCCAGGUGAGGUGGGUAGGUAUGGAGGGGCUGAGGCCCAAAGAAAGAAGUGGCUUGCCCAAGGUCAAGGUGAGAGGCAGGGCCUGGGCCUUGACACAG